CCUACGGGGGGCAGCAGUGAGGAAUAUUGGUCAAUGGACGAGAGUCUGAACCAGCCAAGUAGCGUGAAGGAUGAAUGCCCUAUGGGUUGUAAACUUCUUUUAUAUGGGAAUAAAAUGUUCCACGUGUGGGAUUUUGUAUGUACCAUAUGAAUAAGGAUCGGCUAACUCCGUGCCAGCAGCCGCGGUAAUACGGAGGAUCCGAGCGUUAUCCGGAUUUAUUGGGUUUAAAGGGAGCGUAGGUGGAUUGUUAAGUCAGUUGUGAAAGUUUGCGGCUCAACCGUAAAAUUGUAGUUGAAACUGGCAGUCUUGAGUACAGUAGAGGUGGGCGGAAUUCGUGGUGUAGCGGUGAAAUGCUUAGAUAUCACGAAGAACUCCGAUUGCGAAGGCAGUUCACUGGACUGCAACUGACACUGAGGCUCGAAAGUGUGGGUAUCAAACAGGAUUAGAUACCCUGGUAGUC
RNAcentral lists this ribosomal RNA (460 nucleotides) under uncultured bacterium. RNAcentral describes it as "partial 16S ribosomal RNA". It matches the Rfam family "Bacterial small subunit ribosomal RNA", at positions 338 to 795 of the family's 1533-position model. The record is from RNAcentral.